Molecule: ribosomal RNA, 476 nt
Filed under: uncultured bacterium
Lineage: Bacteria
Description: bacterial SSU rRNA
Rfam family: Bacterial small subunit ribosomal RNA
Source: RNAcentral
UUCGCAAUGCCCGAAAGGGUGACGAAGCGACGCCGCGUGGGUGAGGAAGGCCUUCGGGUUGUAAAGCCCUGUCAGGAGUUAAGAAAUGUAAGUGCGCUAAUAUCGCAUUUAUUUGACGAAGGCUCCAAAGGAAGUCACGGCUAACUCUGUGCCAGCAGCCGCGGUAUACAGAGGUGGCAAGCGUUGUUCGGAAUUAUUGGGCGUAAAGAGCACGUAGGUGGGUUUGUAAGUCAGAUGUGAAAGCCUUCUGUUCAACGGAAGAAUUGCAUCUGAAACUGCGAGUCUUGAGUGUAGGAGGGGAGAAUGGAACUUCUGGUGGAGCGGUGAAAUGCGUAGAUAUCAGAAGGAACGCCGGCGGCGAAAGCGAUUCUCUGGCCUAUUACUGACACUCAGUGUGCGAAAGCUAGGGGAGCAAACGGGAUUAGAUACCCCGGUAGUCCUAGCCGUAAACGAUGGGCACUAAGUAGAGGGGUUUU